Molecule: ribosomal RNA, 209 nt
Filed under: uncultured bacterium
Lineage: Bacteria
Description: partial 16S ribosomal RNA
Rfam family: Bacterial small subunit ribosomal RNA
Source: RNAcentral
UACGUAGGGUGCAAGCGUUGUCCGGAAUUAUUGGGCGUAAAGAGCUCGUAGGCGGUUUGUCGCGUCGAAUGUGAAAACCCGGGGCUCAACCCCGGGCCUGCAUUCGAUACGGGCAGACUAGAGUUCGGUAGGGGAGUCUGGAAUUCCUGGUGUAGCGGUGAAAUGCGCAGAUAUCAGGAGGAACACCGGUGGCGAAGGCGGCGUUCUGG